Molecule: ribosomal RNA, 3165 nt
Filed under: Triticum aestivum (bread wheat)
Lineage: Eukaryota; Viridiplantae; Streptophyta; Magnoliopsida; Poales; Poaceae
Description: partial small subunit ribosomal RNA
Source: RNAcentral
AUGGCCGGCUUUUCGAACGCCGCCACCUGUGCUCUCCUCCUCCCCCUCCUCAUCUUCUCCUACCAUCCUACUCCUGCCGUCUCCUUCUCCCUCAACUUCCCCGAGUUCACCACAGCAGAGCGGAAAGACAUCAAGAUCGAAGGCGACGCGUCCUUCAUCGGCAACGCAUCCAUGGGAUCGAUCGACAUGAGCGCAAACUUGUACGGUAGCGUCAGCCGGGCGUCCUACAACACCCAGCCGGUGCAACUCUGGGACAAGGCGGCCGGCAAGGUGGCCAGCUUCACCACGCGGUUCGAGUUCCUCAUGUCCAGCGGCAGUAACGACGAGGUGGGCAUGGCCUUUUUCCUCGCCGGCUAUCCGUCUAGCCUCCCUGCCGGCGGCACUGUCCACAGCCUCGGCCUCACCGACCAAAACGCAGACUCCGUGGCGUCCGGCGACAGCCGGUUUGUAGCGGUGGCGUUCGACACCUUCAACAAUCCAAUGGCGUCUGACCCCACCGCCAGCUACGAUUAUGACCACAUCGGCAUCUACGUCAACUCCCUCAGAUCGGUGAGCACACUGAAGUUGCAGGGCUCCACUCUCACGAGCGGCACCCUGAUUUUGUCCGUGAUCGAGUACGACAAUGUCUCCAACGUCUUAGCGGUCACGUUAUGGGAUCAAGACCAACAGAGUUACUACCUUAACUCCAAGGUUGACCUGAAGAGCGCACUGCCGGAGCAGGUCUCCAUUGGCUUCUCCGCCUCCACGUCCAGCGGCGAGUGCGCCGCCGCCGCCGUCGUCGGAAAAUCAUGGAGACGGAAGAGUACUACACAGACUCAGAAGAAGACGAAGGCGAGCCGAUGUCCGGGGACGGGGCCAAGGCGGUUCCCAUACCACGAGCUCGUGGAACCGACCAGGAACUUCGCCGCGGAGGAGAAGCUUGGGCAAGGCGGCUUUGGCGCCGUAUACCAAGGCUAUUUGAGAGAGCCAGCUGGGCUUGCCGUGGCCAUAAAAAGGUUGCAGUCUUCCAUACAAGGAAAGAAGGAGUACAAAUCCGAGGUCAAGGUGAUAAGCAGGCUGCGUCACCGGAACCUCGUGCAGCUCAUCGGCUGGUGUCAUGGCCAUGAUCAGGAGCUCCUGCUGGUCUACGAGCUCAUGCCCAACCGUAGCCUCGACAUCCAUCUCCAUGGCAAGCAGGGCACCUUCCUCACAUGGGAAAUGAGGAUGAAGAUAUUGCUGGAGCUUGGGUCUGCCCUGCUCUACCUUCACGAGGAGUGGGAGCAAUGCGUGCUUCACCGGGACAUCAAGCCCAGCAACGUCAUGCUUGACGAGUCCUUUGGCGCCAAGCUAGGCGACUUCGGGCUAGCCAGGCUUGUUGACCACGCCGCUGGGAUGCAGACCAUGACCGCAAUCUCGGGAACUCCAGGCUACUUGGACCCCGAUUGCGUGAACACCGGCAAGGCCAGCGCCGAGUCCGACGUGUACAGCUUCGGUGUGGUUCUACUGGAGGUGGCAUGCGGCAGGAGGCCAAUGAGCAUAACCCCGGCCGACCAGGACAAGCAGAAGAAUGGCGGCGUCUUCCGGCUGGUCGAGUGGGUCUGGGGACUAUAUGGCCGGGGAUCCAUCCUUGAGGCCGCCGACGAGCGGCUGAAUGGUGACUACGACGCGGCAGAGGUGGAGACGGUGAUGGUCGUCGGGUUGUGGUGCGCGCACCCAAACCCAAGCGUGCGGCCGUCCAUCCGGACAGCCAUGGCCACGCUCCAGCCCAAGGUCGACCAAGCCUACCAGCUGCCCGUGCUUCCUUCCAAGAUGCCAGUGCCCAUGUAUGAGCCGGCGCCGCCGCUCUCCUGGGCCAAUGUCGUUGGGAUGUCAUCAUCAUCCUCCCACACCAUUGGGAUGUCGUCGUCGACGUCGUCCAGCAUGCCGCUGCACACUUCUUAUGACCAUGAUAAACAUAAAAUCACUUGUUCUCUGAAUAGUUUAUGGUGCUCAACAGACGGAAACAACAUCAAGAUCGAAGGCGACGCAUCCUUCAACGUCGGAUGGAUCGACAUCAACGCCAAUAGGCACAAUGGUAUCGAAGGCAGCAAUGGUCGGGCAUGGUACAACGCCCAGCCGAUGUUGCUCUGGGACAAGGCGACAGGCGAGGUGGACAGCUUCACCACGCGCUUCACGUUCGCCAUUGUAGGUGACAUAAACAACAAGGGGCAGGGCAUGGCCUUUUUCCACACCGCUCAAUCUAGCAUGCCGGCCAACUGCCCCAGCUACAUCCUCGGCCUCACCGACCAGAGCCCAGGCGAGCUGGCCUCCGGUGACAGCCGGUUCGUGGCGGUAGAGUUCGACACUUUCAAUAAUACAGAUGUGCCUGACCCCGACACCAGCUAUGACCACAUUGGCAUAGACGUCAACUCCCUAGUAUCGAUGGAAACAUUGUCCCUAGAGAGCUUUGACCUCAUGGACAACCUGACCGCCGAGAUCGAGUACGAUGGCGUUUCCAGCAUCUUAAAUAUGACAGUAUGGCUCGGUGAUGAUAAAUAUGGCCGGCCGAGAGGCAGGAUUUACUGGCUUAGCUUCGAGGUUGACCUCAAGAGUGCACUGCCGGAGCAGGUCUCCGUUGGCUUCUCCGCGUCCACGUCCACGUCCGCGGAAGUGCAUCAGUUACACUCUUGGUCCUUCAACUCUUCGUUGGAACCACAGGCCCCACCACCACCACCACCACCACCACCACCACCAGGGCGAGGCCCAGGCAAGCCGAUGACGGAGAUAGCGAUGAGGAUGGGGCCAAGAUGGUUCCCAUACCAGGAGUUGGUGGAAGCCACGAGGAACUUCGCCGCGGACGAGAAGCUUGGGCAAGGUGGCGUCGGCGCUGUAUACCGAGGCUAUCUGAGAGGAGAGCCAGCUGGUCUAGGAGUUGCCAUAAAGAGAUUCUCCAACUCCAAGCAUGAGGAGUCUUCCAUUCAAGGAGAAAGGGAGUACAGGUCAGAGAUCAAGGUGAUAAGGAGGCUGCGUCACCGGAACCUUGUGCAGCUCCUCGGCUGGUGCCAUGACCGCGAGGAGCUGUUGCUGGUCUACGAGCUCAUGCCCAACCGCAGCCUCGACAUCCAUCUCCGUGGCAAGCAGGGCACCUUCCUCACGUGGCCAAUGAGGAUGAAGAUAUUGCUGGAGCUUGGGUCUGCACUGCUCUAA